This 401-nucleotide RNase P RNA is filed under the name Aquamicrobium defluvii. RNAcentral's name for it is "bacterial RNase P". It matches the Rfam family "Bacterial RNase P class A". Rfam says of the family: Ribonuclease P (RNase P) is a ubiquitous endoribonuclease, found in archaea, bacteria and eukarya as well as chloroplasts and mitochondria. RNAcentral also lists the same sequence under 1 other name. Lineage: Bacteria; Pseudomonadati; Pseudomonadota; Alphaproteobacteria; Hyphomicrobiales; Phyllobacteriaceae. The record is from RNAcentral.
CCAGCCGGCCGGGCGGCCGCACCAGCAUCAAGCCGAAAGGCUGCGGGUGAGGAAAGUCCGGGCUCCAUGGAAACACGGUGCCGGCUAACAGCCGGCGGGGGUAACCCCAGGGAAAGUGCCACAGAAAGCAAACCGCCGCACUUCAUGUGCGGCAAGGGUGAAAGGGUGGGGUAAGAGCCCACCGCGCGACCGGUAACGGAAGCGGCACGGUAAACCCCACCGGGAGCAAGACCGAAUAGGGGCGGUACAGAGGGGAAACCCUCGGGGCUGUUUCCGGCCCGCCGCCCGGGUAGGUUGCGUGAGGCGUCUGGCAACAGGCGCCCAAGAUGAAUGGCCGCCACGUUUCCGCGCCGCAAGGUGCGGAGGCCAUACAGAACCCGGCUUACAGGCCGGCUGGCACC